RNAcentral lists this ribosomal RNA (253 nucleotides) under uncultured bacterium. Its description in RNAcentral is "partial 16S ribosomal RNA". It matches the Rfam family "Bacterial small subunit ribosomal RNA", at positions 524 to 776 of the family's 1533-position model. The record is from RNAcentral.
UACGGAGGGUGCAAGCGUUAUCCGGAUUCACUGGGUUUAAAGGGUGCGUAGGAGGGCAGGUAAGUCAGUGGUGAAAUCUCCGAGCUUAACUUGGAAACUGCCGUUGAUACUAUCUGUCUUGAAUAUUGUGGAGGUAAGCGGAAUAUGUCAUGUAGCGGUGAAAUGCUUAGAUAUGACAUAGAACACCAAUUGCGAAGGCAGCUUGCUACACAAUCAUUGACUCUGAUGCACGAAAGCGUGGGGAUCAAACAGG